RNAcentral lists this ribosomal RNA (433 nucleotides) under uncultured bacterium. RNAcentral describes it as "partial 16S ribosomal RNA". It matches the Rfam family "Bacterial small subunit ribosomal RNA", at positions 29 to 507 of the family's 1533-position model. The record is from RNAcentral.
AACGAACGCUGGCGGCAUGCCUAACACAUGCAAGUCGAACGAGACCUUCGGGUCUAGUGGCGCACGGGUGCGUAACGCGUGGGAACCUGCCCUUAGGUUCGGAAUAACUCCCCGAAAGGGGUGCUAAUACCGGAUAAUGUCUUCGGACCAAAGAUUUAUCGCCUUUGGAUGGGCCCGCGUUGGAUUAGCUAGUUGGUAGGGUAAAAGCCUACCAAGGCGACGAUCCAUAGCUGGUCUGAGAGGAUGAUCAGCCACACUGGGACUGAGACACGGCCCAGACUCCUACGGGAGGCAGCAGUGGGGAAUAUUGGACAAUGGGCGACAGACUGAUCCAGCAAUGCCGCGUGAGUGAUGAAGGCCUUAGGGUUGUAAAGCUCUUUUACCCGGGAUGAUAAUGACAGUACCGGGAGAAUAAGCUCCGGCUAACUCCGUG